This 210-nucleotide long non-coding RNA is filed under the name Mytilus galloprovincialis (Mediterranean mussel). The record is from RNAcentral. Lineage: Eukaryota; Metazoa; Mollusca; Bivalvia; Mytilida; Mytilidae.
UUUUCUUCUUUUGUUACAGAAAACCAUCAACGUACUGAUGUUUACUUUCCGGCGCAUGCCUGGUAAAUGUUUUUUAAUAAAUUUAUGUUGAUAAUUUUUGUCAAAAUAUAAAUUAACAAAAUAUUUCUUAUUCAAAGUUGUUUUUGGUCAUAUAUUUUCGUAUUUUCAAUUUUUACAAUUUGUCUUUGUUUUUAAUUUAUACAAUUUUUU